RNAcentral lists this ribosomal RNA (253 nucleotides) under uncultured bacterium. RNAcentral describes it as "partial 16S ribosomal RNA". It matches the Rfam family "Bacterial small subunit ribosomal RNA", at positions 524 to 776 of the family's 1533-position model. The record is from RNAcentral.
UACGGAGGGAGCUAGCGUUGCUCGGAAUUACUGGGCGUAAAGCGCACGUAGGCGGCUUUGUAAGUUAGGGGUGAAAGCCUGGAGCUCAACUUCAGAAUUGCCCUUAAGACUGCAUCGCUUGAAUCCAGGAGAGGUGAGUGGAAUUCCGAGUGUAGAGGUGAAAUUCGUAGAUAUUCGGAAGAACACCAGUGGCGAAGGCGGCUCACUGGACUGGUAUUGACGCUGAGGUGCGAAAGCGUGGGGAGCAAACAGG